This 400-nucleotide ribosomal RNA is filed under the name uncultured bacterium. RNAcentral's name for it is "partial 16S ribosomal RNA". It matches the Rfam family "Bacterial small subunit ribosomal RNA", at positions 355 to 771 of the family's 1533-position model. The record is from RNAcentral.
UCGAGAAUCUUCCGCAAUGCGCGAAAGCGUGACGGAGCAAUGCCGCGUGAAGGAUGAAGGUCUUCGGAUUGUAAACUUCUGUCAAGAGGGAAAAACCGUGAUGGUACCUCUGGAGGAAGCCACGGCAAACUACGUGCCAGCAGCCGCGGUAAUACGUAGGUGGCGAGCGUUAUUCGGAAUCACUGGGCGUAAAGGGUCCGUAGGCGGUCUGUCAAGUCUGAUGUGAAAUCUUGGGGCUCAACCCCAAACGUGCAUUGGGUACUGACGGACUGGAGUGCAUCAGAGGCAAGCGGAAUUUGUGGUGUAGCGGUGGAAUGCGUAGAUAUCACAAGGAACGCCAAAGGCGAAAGCAGCUUGCUGGGAUGUCACUGACGCUGAGGGACGAAGGUCAGGGGAGCAA